RNAcentral lists this non-coding RNA (28 nucleotides) under Cricetulus griseus (Chinese hamster). Lineage: Eukaryota; Metazoa; Chordata; Mammalia; Rodentia; Cricetidae. The record is from RNAcentral.
GAGUGAGAGGAGGAUUUGCUCAGAUGAG